GUGUACAGAAAGUACGAGAGAAAGCUUCGGUGGUUCUACAUCCGAAAGCUUCAAGACUCUAUUGUAUCCUAAGAGACAGCUGUCGGGAGAACAUCUGCACUGAUGGGACGGAAAUUGUUUUAGGAAAAUUGUAGUACCACACAAACUUCAGACUAUUUUUCAACAAGCAGAUUAAAGCUAAGAAUAUACAGAUAGUGAGCAAUGAAGACCAAUUCAAGUUCGUGCUAUUUUAUGAAAGAUAGAAUUUUUCCUCAUGAACAUUACAGGCCAUGUUUGUUACGCAGAACUGGGCAGGUCAAGACAGGACAUAGUUUCAAUAUGUUUUUUGGAAAGCAAAAAUAGGAGGGGGACAGAUUUGUCCCGUUGGUCAUUUUAUCCCAAAUGAACGGGAUAGAUCUAACCCAUCUAGAGAUUGGGUCACUUUUGUCCGAACGAGCUUUCUUCGAAGCAUUUUUGGUUGCCCCCUUUGAAGCAUCUCUGAUCUCGCAUCUCCAAGCUGACCAUCCCCUUCGAAGCAUCUCUAGCCGGUGAGUUCUUCUUCUUCUUUUGCUUCAUCAAUCUUCCAUCAUCAUCAUCUUCUUUUUCUUUUUUGUCUUUUUACGUCAUUUUUUUAGCUGACAAAUUAUGAAAUUUUUUUGGGAAAUGUCAUUUGUUGAUCUGUAAAAUAAGCUUCGAUCUAUAAAGUUAGGGUUUGAUUUGAUAUUCAAGAGGAAGAAGGCUUGAUUUUGGAGGCUUAAACUAGAGAUAAAGCAUCAGGUGUGGAAGGUAAGUGUUCUAUUUUUGCCUAUCGUUGAUGUGAUGCUUAUCAUGCGUUGGGUAGAUUAAUUCUAUUCGUGAUGUUGGUUGGAGAAUUAGAACUAAUUUGGGUAAUGUUUGUGUGCAAAGAAUUAGAAUUAGAUGAUGGUGAUAGUCGGGUGAUAAUCAUGCGUUGGUGUGAAAGAGGGCUUUAGAGAUCUGAAUCCCAUUGAUCUUGCGAAAGAGGGCUUUGAGUUGGGAUGCUGAUAAGAGAGAAUGUUCCGCUUCUAAAGCAACAAAAAUUUAGAAAAAAAAAAAAAAAAACUCAUCGGAACCCUACACACAAAUAAACAAAGUGGAAGAUUAAAAAACAUAUAAGAAAUGAAGGCUGACCUUGUUCUUUCCUACUUAUGGAAUUGAGAAAUGAUGAAACUUCUUUCUCUCUUUCCUUUAGCUUAUCAUCUUUAGCUGGGUAAAUCUCUCGCUUAAGCCUCAGCUCACCACACGAAUUUUGUAACACUUUUACAUCAGCAUCCAACUUAGAAAUCCUAUUUUGUUUCAUAUGCCUUUCUUUAAUAGCAUUUUCAAAACCAGUUUCAGCAUCUUUCAAUGUAUUGUGCAAAUCAAUAAUUACAGAGGCUGCCAAAUUAGUUGUGCUCUCAAACUGUUUGCUCAUAUGUCGAACUUUUUUGGUAACAAGUAGCAAUAUUUCCACUUCUUUAACAUAUUUGCUGCCAUUAAAACGUAUCCAAUCAAAAUUAGACAGUAAGUUUAAUACAUUUUUUUGCCAAUAAUAGCAAUAUUGUUUCAACCAUGAAUUUUAUUGAUACAUGUUAGUGAUUACACACACACACACACUCUUUUUCUUUUUUCAAUAUUUUCGCCCAUGCAAUUACAUCUUUGUCAAAGUGUUAGCUGUCAUUACUAACAUAAAAAAACUAACAUAAAAAGAAGACUUUUAUUAGCAAAGACUGCUUCUUUGUCAAGGUUGAGUUUUUUUUGCUCUAUCUCACAGAAAGUAGACCCCAUUAAUACCUCAUUGCCGGUGAUGAUAUUAAGCUUAGUUUUUUAAGUGAUUCUUUGUAGUUUUUGUUCUUGCUUAGCCAUUUGGCAUCGAAAGACUUCGAAAACCCAAUCAAAUUGCUUCCUCUGUUUUCUUUUUUUAAUUCUUUUAUCAUAUAAAAAAUGUAAGAAAAUCUUCCUCCUGGAUUUAGGUUCCCUCCUCCUAAUGAAGGACUAAUCCAAUUGUUGUAUAUUUGGGUCACAUGAGGUUGUGUAUGUGAAUUUUUACAAUGCAUAAUUGCAAUAUCUGUUUGUUGUAGCUAUUAGAAACAUUUUAAUUUUUAAAAUGCGUAAUUGAGUAUGUGAGCAUAUUCUAUUUGUUUAUAUUUUAAUUUCUUAACUUAUUAUUCGUUGCAUGUAAAGUCAAAUGGGAAGUUAAUUAAGCAAAGUUAAUGCUCUUUUGCUUUCUUUGUUUGGCUUCUAAAUGCUUUUCUUCACUUUAAAAGAACUGUUAUGUUGGUCAGAUUAGUGCUAGAUUGUCCUUUGGCAAACUCGGAUGCAAAUAAUCAAGUAUGCAAUGUCAAGAAUGUGGGAAAGCUGGAUUUGCAUAUGGAUUUGGACUUGGUUGCAUGAUUUUGCAGGAAGAUGCAAAAUUGACAUUUUGAUCUUUAUUGAGUGUCCUGGAUUGAAUUGCUGUAUUUGCCAAGCUGAAUUUUAUAUCUUAGUUGCCUACUUACCUGUUGGAUAAUCAAUAAUUUAUUUUGCAUUGUCUUUAAAGAAAGAGUUAUCAUA
This is a long non-coding RNA of Ziziphus jujuba (common jujube), 2529 nucleotides long. RefSeq lists it as uncharacterized. Lineage: Eukaryota; Viridiplantae; Streptophyta; Magnoliopsida; Rosales; Rhamnaceae. The record is from RefSeq and is a predicted model, not a curated record. The transcript is spliced from 2 exons.